Molecule: small RNA, 246 nt
Filed under: Arabidopsis thaliana (thale cress)
Lineage: Eukaryota; Viridiplantae; Streptophyta; Magnoliopsida; Brassicales; Brassicaceae
Description: ATSL092000
Source: RNAcentral
AAGGUAACUUUAUCUAUUUAGUUUUUUUUUCUUUUUUAUUAUUAUUUUAUUUUAUUUAAUCCGGUAGAACACUGAAAUGGUAUAGAAUGGACUAUUCUCGAUCCGUAGAAUUGGGUUACCACACGUCUUUCUUCGAGUUUGAAAUUCCUGCCGACUAUUGUGAAUGGAUAGUCAAAUUGUCUGUAUUUCUAACUACUAGAUAAACUAAUUAGAACAAAUUCUAACUUUAUCUAUUUAAUUAUUCUA